Molecule: long non-coding RNA, 1092 nt
Filed under: Sus scrofa (pig)
Lineage: Eukaryota; Metazoa; Chordata; Mammalia; Artiodactyla; Suidae
Description: lncRNA (ENSSSCG00015014840.1)
Source: RNAcentral
UGAUCCCUGGCUGGGGACAGGGGGUUGAUGUGAUCUGUGGUUGCAGGUUGCAGAUGUGGCUCCGAUCCAGUGUUGCUGUGGUGUAGACCUGCAGCUCUGAUUCGACCCCUAGCCUGGGACCUUCCAUAGGCUGCAGGUGCGGCCCUAAAAAGACAAUACGUAAAGAGAUAUGUAGAGAAAUAUGUAGUAAAAGCAAGUGGUAAAGGGGGGGGUCCCUUAAAAGCCUCGAAUACCCGCCUCCCAAGAGCUGUGUCCAGAGCCAGUCGUGUUUCAGUGGAGACACGAAAUCCAUCCAAUGCGAACAAAAAUUCCCAGGCAGGUCGAGGAAGAGGGAGGCAGGAGAGAAACAGAAGUCAAAGCAGAGGGAGUGAGGGGAAGGCCGUCCAGGACCCACAGGUCCAGGGAAGGAAAAGAGGGAAGCGUUUUCAGAGGCAGGAGAGAAACAGAAGUCAGAGCAGAGGAAGUGAGGGGGGCGCCGUUCAGGACCCACAGGUCCAGGGAAGGAAAAGAGGGAAGCGUUUUCAGAGGCAGGUGGGAGCCAGAACCGUCGGGGGUUGGUGGCGAGAUGACACCAGAGAAGAAGUGAAAGAGGGUCGCCAGCUCCGUAAGGAGAGGGAGGUUUCAGGAUGAGUAUUUUGGUGCGUGUCCAUUUUUCUUUCCUCCUCCCCCCUCCCCCUCCACGGCUGAGCCAGAGGCCAGCAGCAUGGGUGCUGAGUAGGGAAAUGAUGGCUUGAAUCUCAGUUAUUCUCCAAAAUGCCCUGAACAAGAGGAGGGAAGGGAGGGGUCAGGGUCGGAAAGGAGCAGCCCAGGCGGUGUCCACCAAUCUUCAGCCCUUGUGCGUUCCAGGCGUGGGUCCAAGGCAGGACCUGGCUAAGGACACGGUGGGAACUGACUGCUUUCUUUGUGAGGAGGCUUGGAGGUGAAAAAAGUGAACUAAGAGGUGAAAAUGUGAGCCCAGGGUCACACAGCAGGGGGGAUCUGUACAAGCUGAGUUCAGGNGGGAAAUGAUAGGACUGCAACAUGCGGCUUUCUUGUGAUUGAAUGUGGCCCUUGUCCCUAGUUCUAGACAAUUAGUACUACUUCCAGUUGGAG